Molecule: long non-coding RNA, 895 nt
Filed under: Vigna radiata
Lineage: Eukaryota; Viridiplantae; Streptophyta; Magnoliopsida; Fabales; Fabaceae
Description: long non-coding RNA (VRAD_LNC008833)
Source: RNAcentral
AAACUUCAAGGACACAUAGUCCAAAUGGUGUCAUACAUAACAUCGUCUAAGACAAAUCUUCUACAAGACAAUUGCAUACAUGCAUUAGGUUGUGUCUAAAUAUUGAGUCCAACUCUAGAAGUUGUCUAGGAAAUUCAAGUCUGAACCCUUUCCUUUAUCCUCUCAUCAUCUUUUUCCAAUAUCUCUUAUGUAUCAAUCAAGCCAUUACUCCUAACAUCAAUUCUCUCUUUUCCUAUCUUCCUCGAAAAGAAAAAUUAUUUGACUCUGUCACCUCUCCAAUACUUAUCUGCUGCAAAAGCACUUCAUUCCAAGAUAUCUCAUUCUUCGAGAAAUACAAUAUCUCUUUCCAAAUCCAAGUCAUACUAAGUGCAUUAAAUGGACAAGACAAAUCACAAUCGACUAUGACUAAUUUUCCACUCUAUUUAAGUUGACUAUACUUUCUUCAUAUUCUCAACUUAUUCACUCCUCUAGAAAACCUAAUUCGCAGUUCUCUCGAAUAUUGUCUCCAACUUCUGAGUUCUCGAUCUCUCAAUCUUCCAAACCAAUGAAACCAUCAUCAAAACCUCCAGACCAUCAUCAUCAUCAUCUUCGAUCACCGGACCAAGCUGAAUAUGAAUGUCCAACAACCCUUCAUACUCUCGUAUUCAGAACUUACUUACCUUACACAAGUAGUUCUUUCACUUAACCUACACCCUUCACAGCAUGCCCACAUCUUACCUCACCACUACUUUCUUAUGUUUUCCUUAUAUCUCCCUGACUCUUUUCACACAUAUCCCUUCACGUGUCUCUCUUCCUAACCUUCUCUUCCUCUCCACCUCCUCCUCCUCCAUCACCAAACCCACUUGUCCCCCUUGUCGUCCUAUUCCCUCAUGACCCUCUUCUUCUCCCUUCUUCU